CUGUUGGGCUUCAGCACUCGGAGAUCUUGGAGAGGAGAGACCCCUGAGUUUUUCCCUGUUCAUCUGGGGAGGACAAGUUCCCACAGAGCCCUCCUCUACUGGGCAAAGAGUCGCCCCGGAGAGCCCCUUGUGGCCACAUCCUAGUACUGCAGGUUGGCGCUUGAAUGAGCGGAGCCAGGACUGAGGAUGUCCCAGUCACCCUUUGUCACCCCACACUUAGCCUAAUGCCAGAGGUCUGAGAUGAAGGAGGUGAGGGGGUCUUGGUAACGAGAAUGUGCCUCAUCCAAGCUGCAUGGAUCCAUGCCCCUGCACUGGAGUCGCAGAAUGGGGAGCGGCUGCAAGAAAGGUCCCCUGGGAGGCUGGAGAACAGGAGUGGGGUGGAGUUAGUGUCAGGGUCCCUCUGCAGCCUGAAAGUCACUUGAGAAACAAUUGUUGAGCACCUACUAGUGGCAAGAUAGGAGAUCAAGGACCAUGAAGACGUCCGCAUGUGCGGGCACACACACCCCAGUAAGACAAAUCAUAGUGUAGUGGUGGCCUUGGCUGUACAUAGAAAGAGGCAUCCUAGAGAAGGGGAGGUCUGAGCAGAGAGAUGACAGGUUGAGCACUCCUGGCAGAGGGAGUGGCAUGAUGGAGAAAGAGAAUGAGAUGGAGGACAAGUGCAGCGUGCCCAGGUAUAAUGUGCCUAGGGGAUAGAGGGGGUGUGGCAAGUGGGGAGAGGGAUGAGAGUAUGGUGGGAAAUGAGGCUGGAAGGAGAGAUGAGGCCACGACACAGAGGAGAGACUCAGAAUGCUGCAUAACCUCCCUGAGCCCCAUGGUCUUCGUUACUGCAAAUGGGACGUGGAAUCCAGGAAUGAGAGUAUCACAUACAUACAGAAAAGCUCACAAGUGGUAAGGAUACCACUCGACGACAUUCCCAAAAUGAGCAACCCCGUGUAACUAGCAUCUGGCGAAGAAUCAGAACAUCACCCCACCCCUAGAAGUCCCCCUUUCAGUCACUAAAAGGAGGAAGGAGAAAAGGACCACUCUGAGAGAGGACAGGAGAGAGGAAGGCAGCCCCAGAAGCAAGAGCCUAUUCUUCUGACCCUAAACUGAGAUAUGCUGAGUAACUGCAAAAGGUAACUUGAGAACGGCUGCUCCUGGCUAUUAAGGUCAUAGUCCAGCAAACCCUUAACACGUGCCCCAAAAAAGACCUUAAGACCAACUUCCCAGGGAUUCCGGGACCACCUCACCACUUGCCCGAGAGGAGAACACCCAAACUGAACCCUCCAUCUCCAGGCACAUGUUAAACUACAUUUUCCAGCCCUCUUGCUUUGAGGCUGGCCAUGUCACUGAGUUCUGGCAAUGAAACGGGCACAGAAGUGAUUUUUGUCACUUUCAGGCCUGAUCCAUAAAAACCUCGAUCCGUCAUCCCCUUUUCCAUCAUCCCUAUCUGGAUGACCCAGGGCACCACGAAGCCAUGUGAUGAAGAUGGGGAGAGCUUGGUCCCUGAAUGAUUACAUGGAGCAGAGCACCCUUCACCCUGCCCGCUGCCACCUACACUGAACUAUGACUUGGAUGAAAUAAACCUUCCCUGUGUUAAUCCGGUGAGAGUUUAGCUUAUCCUGACUAACAGCACCAUGAAGGUCUGAAGCCAAGUCCAUCAAACUCUGAAGACCAUCCUCUCUCAUGAAGCCAUAUUGCCACACAAUAUAGCAGAAAUAUAAAAGUCAAACUAUAAAAUAUUAUCUAAUU
Long non-coding RNA from Equus caballus (horse), 1731 nucleotides. Lineage: Eukaryota; Metazoa; Chordata; Mammalia; Perissodactyla; Equidae. The record is from Ensembl.